Callithrix jacchus (white-tufted-ear marmoset) is the source of this 148-nucleotide unclassified non-coding RNA. It matches the Rfam family "Metazoan signal recognition particle RNA". Rfam says of the family: The signal recognition particle (SRP) is a universally conserved ribonucleoprotein. It is involved in the co-translational targeting of proteins to membranes. The eukaryotic SRP consists of a 300-nucleotide 7S RNA and six proteins: SRPs 72, 68, 54, 19, 14, and 9. Lineage: Eukaryota; Metazoa; Chordata; Mammalia; Primates; Cebidae. The record is from Ensembl.
GCCAGGCAUGGUGGUGCAUGCCUGUAAUCCCAGCUACUCAGGAGGCUGAGGCAGGAGAAUUGCUUGAAUCUGGGAGGCAGAGGUUACAGUGAGCCAAGAGCAUGCCACUGCACUCUAGCCUGGGUGACAGAGCAAGACUCUGUCUCAA